Molecule: non-coding RNA, 948 nt
Filed under: Sphaerodactylus roosevelti
Lineage: Eukaryota; Metazoa; Chordata; Lepidosauria; Squamata; Sphaerodactylidae
Description: 12S ribosomal RNA
Rfam family: Bacterial small subunit ribosomal RNA
Source: RNAcentral
UAAACCCCCAGUUGCUUCUAGUCAAAAAUUACACAUGCAAGCCUCCCCAUCCCCGUGCCCACAACCAAAUAACAUUAUAUAAACCAGGACAGGGGUAUCAGGCGCGCCAUCAUGCCAGCCCAUGACACCCAGCCCCGCCACACCUCCACAGGACCCAGCAGUGAUAAACCUUAGACCAUGGGCCAAGCCCGAUCUAGCUAUGACUACCACGGGCCGGUAAAUUUCGUGCCAGCCACCGCGGUUACACGAAAGGCCCAAAACAACCGCCACCGGCGUAAAGCGUGACCAAGAGCCCGGACCAAGACCGGGGGCAAAAAUUGCACACCACCGUCGUAAAACACCAAUGCGCGCAAGAAUCCAUUUAACGCCCCAACCCGCAUCUGGCCCACCCCACUCACGAAAGCCAGGGCACAAACUAGGAUUAGAUACCCUACUAUGCCCGGCAAUAAAUACUGCCCAUCCAAUACAAAUAACACGCCAGAGAACUACAGGCGAAAAGCCCAAAACUCCAAGGACUUGACGGUGUCUCACACAACCUAGAGGAGCCUGUCCUAUAAUCGAUACCCCACGCUUUACCCAACCCCCUCUUGUACCACUCAGCUUAUAUACCGCCGUCGUCAGUUCGCCCCCUGAGGGACGUCAAGCGAACAAAACACUCGCACCACUAAUACGUCAGGUCAAGGUGUAGCUAACGGGGGGGAAGAGAUGGGCUACAUUCUCAACACCCUGAGCACACGCACAGCAACAUGAAAUCUUUCGCCACAAGGUGGAUUUAGCAGUAAACCAAGCAAGCCAUGCUUGAUUGAACUAAGCCCUGAGACGCGCACACACCGCCCGUCACCCUCAUCGAACACCAAACACCACACCAAACCUACUUAGCCCAAACCACCAAACACAGAUGAGACAAGUCGUAACAUGGUAAGUGUACUGGAAAGUGCACUUGAAACC